This 457-nucleotide ribosomal RNA is filed under the name uncultured bacterium. Its description in RNAcentral is "bacterial SSU rRNA". It matches the Rfam family "Bacterial small subunit ribosomal RNA", at positions 340 to 786 of the family's 1533-position model. The record is from RNAcentral.
UACGGGAGGCAGCAGUGGGGAAUAUUGCACAAUGGGCGAAAGCCUGAUGCAGCUAUGCCGCGUGUAUGAAGAAGGCCUUAGGGUUGUAAAGUACUUUCAUCGGGGAGGAAAAAACAAAACUAAUAAUUUUAUUUCUUGACGUUACCCGAAAAAGAAGCACCGGCUAACUCCGUGCCAGCAGCCGCGGUAAUACGGAGGGUGCUAGCGUUAAUCAGAAUUACUGGGCGUAAAGAGCACGUAGGUGGUUUUUUUAAAGUCAGAUGUGAAAUCCCUGGGCUUAACCUAGGAACUGCAUUUUGAAACUGAAAUACUAGAGUAUCGUAGAGGGAGGUAGAAUUCUAGGUGUAGCGGUGAAAUGCGUAGAUAUCUGGAGGAAUACCUGUGGCGAAAUCGGCCUCCUAAACGAAUACUGACACUGAGGUGCGAAAGCGUGGGGAGCAAACAGGGAUUAGAUACC